GAUGGGCCCGCGCCCGAUUAGCUAGUUGGUGAGGUAACGGCUCACCAAGGCUUCGAUCGGUAACCGGCCUGAGAGGGCGAUCGGUCACACCGGAACUGAGACACGGUCCGGACUCCUACGGGAGGCAGCAGUGGGGAAUCUUGCGCAAUGGGCGAAAGCCUGACGCAGCAACGCCGCGUGGAGGAUGAAGGCCCUUGGGUUGUAAACUCCUGUCGGCUGGGAAGAAAUCGUUCGUGGCUCAUACCCACGGACGUUGACUGUACCAGCAAAGGAAGCCCCGGCUAACUCUGUGCCAGCAGCCGCGGUAAUACAGAGGGGGCUAGCGUUAUUCGGAAUUAUUGGGCGUAAAGGGCGCGUAGGCGGCCAUGCGUGUCUUCCGUGAAAUCCCUCGGCUUAACUGAGGACGUGCGGAAGAAACUGCAAGGCUCGAGUCCGGGAGAGGGGGGUGGAAUUCCCAGUGUAGCGGUGAAAUGCGUAGAUAUUGGGAGGAACACCGGUGGCGAAGGCGGCCCCCUGGACCGGUACUGACGCUGAGGCGCGAAAGCGUGGGUAGCAAACGGGAUUGGAU
This 568-nucleotide ribosomal RNA is filed under the name uncultured bacterium. RNAcentral describes it as "bacterial SSU rRNA". It matches the Rfam family "Bacterial small subunit ribosomal RNA", at positions 224 to 783 of the family's 1533-position model. The record is from RNAcentral.